CCCACUCCCCACCCCCCACUCGCUGGGGACCAGCCAUUGAUGUUGAUGGGACCUUUGAGACAUUUUGACGGAGAAGGACUUUAGGGAGAUGGGCUUCCAGUGUAAAGUGUGACUGGAUAAGUUAGGAAGCCCAGAUUUUAACUGUCUUUCUCUGCCACUGCCUUGGGACCACUACAUCUACACCAAGCUCAUCUGAUCUGCUUCUUUUAGGACAUUAAGAGAAGAUUCAUCUUCGUUCUUUAUUGUCACUGUCCCCCCGGCCUCCUGAAAGUUGUUUCUCUGCCUUCUGAACAUGAACAGAAAAGAAAAUGAAUGACUUGUCCACACUCCCUAUGAACCAUGGACAAUACCCAGACCUGUUCCCAUGAGGAGGCUGAAAGACCUUAACUGAAGCCCCGCAUGUUAUAGGGUCUCUGUAAAUGAGUUUAGAUGGGAUCUCUCUCACCGCUGCCUCUUGGACUCAGCGUUAGGAUUUUAUAAUGAGCUGUCACUUUGCUGGGGAUAAAAACUCUGUUUUGACUGUCUCUGUUGCCUGGGUUCCUCAAACAACAACCAGAAGAACUUGAUCCGUGAACAAGAGUUAGACCACAAUCUGAAGAAUUUUUUUUUAUCUGAUUAGUUCCUUGUCUUCUUUGUCCCACGUGCUUCUGAUGCUCCACAGAGAGCAGGCUGGGAGAGCAGAAACAUGAGCAAUAGGCAAUGUGCAUCCCAGCAGUCACAGACUCUAAACUUCCAGCCUGGGGCCCGCAGGUAGGUGAACAACCAGCCCCUGUGGGAGAAAUAAUCACCUAUUCUUUGCUAAGACUGGAGAGCAAGAGCCAGCCCCAGCUGCCUUAAUGGUUUUCCCUCUUUCUGUGAGUCUGACCUCAGGUCAGGGAAUGAUCGACAGAAGGCCUUCGGGACAACCAGUUCAUCCCCACAAAUUGGUGUCUUCCAAGUCUCAGUGCUUGUGACCCACUCAGUCCUGUCUCCGUUAUUUCCAGUCACUUGCCUGGGGAACUUACGGCAGAAGGUCCUCUUGCUGGGAAAGUGUCUUUCAUGGUUGGCUUCGGUAUGCUGGGGCCCAGAAAUCAAAGGAAACUCAAUUAUCAUGCACAGCACAGGUGGCUCUCCCUCCAUGAUAGUGUCAAAAGCUGUCAGGCAGGAAGCCUUCCUGUCCUCACAGCCUGCCUCUGACCUCCCAACCCCCAGCGGACCAGGUAUCUUAGGUAACAGACAGCUGCCACUACUGAGUCUACAGAACUUAAUGGCACUUUUAUCAGUACUUAAACCUUCCAGGGACUUAAUCACAGAAUCAUAGACAUGGGGAAUGUGAGAGUAGCAAAAGACUGUGGAGAUGGGCUGGUGCACCCUCCUGGACAGUUUUACAUAAAAGAGCUGUGGCAUUCAGGGAGAUAAACCCUCCCCACCCAGAGUCACAAAGCUGCCCAAAACCAAGUCUGGAGCCCAGACAAACCAGCCCAAGGUUGGGCUUAAGCCCACACCAGUCUCUCUCUCUCUCUCUCUCUCUCUCUCUCUCUCUCUCUCUCUCUCUCUCUCUCCUCUAAUCACUCCUGCCUUGUGUCUUGUGGUAGGUUAGGAGAAAGACUUCAAGCAAUUGAAAUGUCUCUCUUGCAGGCUUCCCCCGACCAAGUCCUUGUCUUUGCCAGGAUGGUAUUGACACAAACAGAUCAGAGAACACAGUGGUCUGCGAAUUGUAUCUUGGAUAUUCUGAGCUUCUGGGCUAAUAUCCACUUAUCAGUGAGUGCAUACCAUGUG
Long non-coding RNA from Mus musculus (house mouse), 1758 nucleotides. RefSeq annotates it as predicted gene, 35701. The transcript is spliced from 3 exons. The record is from RefSeq and is a predicted model, not a curated record. NCBI's taxonomy places the organism in Eukaryota, Metazoa, Chordata, Mammalia, Rodentia, Muridae.